CGGUUCUGGCAUCGAUGAAGAACGCAGCGAAAUGCGAUAAGUAAUGUGAAUUGCAGAAUUUAGUGAAUCAUCGAAUCUUUGAACGCACAUUGCGCCCGUUAGUAUUCUAGCGGGCAUGCCUGUUCGAGCGUCAUUUCAACCCUUAAGCCUUUGUUGCUUAGCGUUGGGAGCCUACGGUAGCGUAGCUCCUCAAAAUCAGUGGCGGAGUCGGUUCACACUCUAGACGUAGUACAUUUUAUCUCGUCUGUGAGUUGGGCUGGUCCCCUGCCGUAAAACCCCCUAAUUUCUAAAGGUUGACCUCGGAUCAGGUAGGAAUACCCGCUGA
This 325-nucleotide unclassified non-coding RNA is filed under the name uncultured fungus. RNAcentral's name for it is "partial contains 5.8S ribosomal RNA and internal transcribed spacer 2". The stretch from base 2 to 133 matches the Rfam family "5.8S ribosomal RNA", at positions 23 to 154 of the family's 154-position model. Lineage: Eukaryota; Fungi. The record is from RNAcentral.